GGAGGUUGAGUUGUUUUUUUUUAUAUAUAUAUAAAUAUAGACUGUAGUUUCAAAAUGAAGUUAUUCUGAUAUAUAUUUUAUAUCUGUAUUUAUGGUUGGAAGGGGGAUGUCUUAUUCCUGUGAAAUACGACAUCAUUAAAGCACUUAGGAACAUUUAGCUCAGCACUUUUCAGACUUUUCCACUUGUGAUCAGUAAUGAUCCGGUUAUCUCAUCUGUGAAGUGAAUUUGGUGCUUUGAAUCCUCUAGCAGAAAAAAAACCCAAACAACAAACAACCCAAACACUUUUGUUGUCAUCAAUAUAUUAGUUUCCUGUGAGCCUUACAUUAUUAAAUAUUGUAGAUAUUAUUCUUUACCAAUAGUUUUAUUAAUUCCUAUUUCUGAAUUUCUAAGGAGUCUGAUCCUGAUCUUACUACCUUCACUCAAAAAGAAAUGUGUGUGCAGCUUUUUCUUCUUUUUUUAAAAAUUUCCUUCCCAAUUUUACAGUUCAGCUAUGUGAAGCUUUUGAUUUAUUUUACCUUUUUUCCCCCUCCAGUUUUGCAUUUUUAUACCUUUGUUAUCUUUUUGAGACAGAAAGGAAAACAAAAACUAGUAUCUGCUGUUGCUGGUUUCGAUCCAAGUGCACAACAGAUCAAAAACAUGAAAGAGUGGAUAGCUACAAGAAGAAAGUAGAAUAUAUGAGUGCAAUAUCUGCACAACUAUUUUCACUGUACCCUCCAGAUUACUUUGACCAUGUGUGUUGGGUCACCUUUACGUAUCCAUACCAUUUCUUCACUGGUUUUAAUUAUCAUAGACUGGAAACAGACGGCACUCGAGGAGCCUAAUGUGGCACGCCGUGCUACUUAACUAACCAUUGCGUGGCUUAUAGCUUGGACUCAGACAGGAAAGCACAAAACACCCUGGUUUUCUUUUAUUUCCAAAUAAACCCUCCUUCAGUGCUUUGGAUUUUACAGUUAAGAUGCCGUUGAGAGAUGAACGACACAAUUCCUUUGUCGUGAUAAUGCGACGCUGGACGGCUUACUAGUGAAGGCUGACACAAAGUGGCUUCUUCAACUCAAAAGAGCUGUGUUACCAAUUUUUUCUUGCCAAGGACAGCCCUGUUUUGCCCUCAAGUUGCUGGUUUAUUGCUGAAGGAUGUUUCAUGCCUUUACCAUGUUCGGCGGCGCAGCAAGACUAGCAGAAGGAGAAGUCUUGAUUGUCAGCGCUCAAGGAGUUUUUACAUCAAGGUGAAGUGCAGAAUUAGCCCUUUGGUGAGGCUGAACCUAAAAUGAAACCAAGAAGUGGUGUAAUUUGCCUAUUGCACAUGCUGAGAUCUAGAUCAUUGAUGGACCCACAGUGAAGCUUUUUCCCUCAGGUCCGUGGGACAAUUUGUGAGCCUGAAACUAAGUGGUAUGGCAGGACACUGUGAUCAGAACACGAUUUUUGCUACAGGAGGAGCACCUAUUCCUGCAUCAGUCUUCUGGACAUGUUGAGUUGGAAAGGGGAUGACUGUGCAAGAACUAUUUAGAACAUGCAUGGAUUUUGCCUAAGUAAGCAAACACUGUUUUGAAAAGCCAUCUUAGAAGUCAGAGAAGACACUGGAGGUUAUUGGAAAACCAGACCUGCCAUCUCUAGGAUCUCUUACACAUGAUUCCAACAACUGCUUCAGGUGCUGAACAAUAUUUAUUGAGCGACCUGGAGCUCAGGCAGCAGCGCUGCUCUCCAGAUGGCUUUCCACAGCAUCGUCUUCUGACACACGCCACCGAGCCACGAGAUGGAGACAGAAAUUCCAGUGUGGGGA
Molecule: long non-coding RNA, 1778 nt
Organism: Pogoniulus pusillus (Red-fronted tinkerbird)
Lineage: Eukaryota; Metazoa; Chordata; Aves; Piciformes; Lybiidae
Exons: 5
Source: RefSeq, a predicted model, not a curated record